Molecule: long non-coding RNA, 683 nt
Organism: Prosopis cineraria
Lineage: Eukaryota; Viridiplantae; Streptophyta; Magnoliopsida; Fabales; Fabaceae
Exons: 2
Source: RefSeq, a predicted model, not a curated record
GCUUUAAGUCGAAGUUUUCUAGGAAGCUUCUUGAACCGACUAAUCUCAACCGGUAACCCUUCCAGGGCGUCUCCAUUUAUUUCUCUCGUUUUCCCUCUCCACUUCUUCAAUCUUUGUCAUUCAUAUCAUGAAGAGUGAGGAUUGGGGAAGUGGACGGAAAAGGAGAGAAAGAAAAAAGCCAGAACAUCGCGUGCUUGACAACAACCAAGAUCUAACGUGAAGUACUCAGAUCCCACAAAGACUAGGCGAGGAGCAUAGCCGAGCGAAGGCGCCCCUCACCAACCCAUCACUUUGUUUCUUGGACUCGCCGAUUCUCUCGCUGCGUCGACCGUCGCUGUUUGCCGAGUAGAUAAGAUGGUCAUUCUUAAUGAAGAAGGGAGAAGGAGAGUGCUGAAACUAAGGGCGAAGGCGAGAGGGAGAGGCGGCAAGGAUCUGUGCGGUAUUUGGGCUUGGCGUAAAUUGUGUUGCCCAAAAUAUUAAGAUUUUUCUAAAUUAUUAAUUUGGACUCUAAAAUUUUUUGAGUUUAUUUGAAUUGGUUCAUCGGAUGUGGGCGAAUUGCUGCCUCUACUUUGUCUCAAGGUAAUAGCUUCAUGCAAGAUUAACUUAUCAUUUCACAUGUAACUCGCGGCAUUAUUUACGGAGUGGAGAUUAUUUUGUUGUUUUUAUAAAGAAGAAUCCCUGUA